Molecule: ribosomal RNA, 460 nt
Filed under: uncultured bacterium
Lineage: Bacteria
Description: partial 16S ribosomal RNA
Rfam family: Bacterial small subunit ribosomal RNA
Source: RNAcentral
CCUACGGGAGGCUGCAGUGAGGAAUAUUGGUCAAUGGACGAGAGUCUGAACCAGCCAAGUAGCGUGAAGGAUGACUGCCCUAUGGGUUGUAAACUUCUUUUAUAUGGGAAUAAACUGUUCCACGUGUGGGAUUUUGUAUGUACCAUAUGAAUAAGGAUCGGCUAACUCCGUGCCAGCAGCCGCGGUAAUACGGAGGAUCCGAGCGUUAUCCGGAUUUAUUGGGUUUAAAGGGAGCGUAGGUGGAUUGUUAAGUCAGUUGUGAAAGUUUGCGGCUCAACCGUAAAAUUGCAGUUGAAACUGGCAGUCUUGAGUACAGUAGAGGUGGGCGGAAUUCGUGGUGUAGCGGUGAAAUGCUUAGAUAUCACGAAGAACUCCGAUUGCGAAGGCAGUUCACUGGACUGCAACUGACACUGAGGCUCGAAAGUGUGGGUAUCAAACAGGAUUAGAUACCCUUGUAGUC